This is a long non-coding RNA of Homo sapiens (human), 561 nucleotides long. Ensembl annotates it as family with sequence similarity 157 member D. Its record names the gene FAM157D. The record is from Ensembl. NCBI's taxonomy places the organism in Eukaryota, Metazoa, Chordata, Mammalia, Primates, Hominidae.
ACAAGAACCGGCGGCGGCGGCGGCAGCAGCAGCAGCAGCAGCAGCAGCAGCAGCAACUGGAUUUGCUUUUUCACCAGAGGAUCCAGAUUUCCCUGUGGCCUUGCAAACAAAAAAGAAGGAAGACGGAGCAGCACAGUCAUCCCUUUGUGAAAAAAGCAUUCAGGUGGUUGAGGGGAGACUCAGUGAAGUCUUGGGGGUUCAGAGCUACACUGCCAGCCUCUGGGACAGCAGCCCCAGUGUCCCCCGACCCAGGCCUUGCUCCUCCCUGCUGAUGAACGCCCACUCUGCUCCCAGAUGCACACCUGUCCUGAAGACACCCGGUUCUCAUGCUCUUCUCUGCAGCACCUGAAUUGGGCAUUCCUGGGUAAAGCAGUUUAAGUUACUUUCACUUUUAUCCACUUGUUUCCGUUAUUUCAACCAUGCAUGUCCCUUGUGUAUGUAGGAUAAAGCUGUCUAAGAAUAAAGGUCCAUGAUUUAAAGUUUUUUCCUCUUCUUUCCCUGUCCUGACCACCUGAUCAUAAACUUGUAGAAAUAAAGUGGAUCUCAUGUUGUGUAUCUUUC